Molecule: long non-coding RNA, 4952 nt
Organism: Hemicordylus capensis (graceful crag lizard)
Lineage: Eukaryota; Metazoa; Chordata; Lepidosauria; Squamata; Cordylidae
Exons: 3
Source: RefSeq, a predicted model, not a curated record
UAGUGUAGGAGCUAGUUGACAGAGCUCCUACACUGCAGUGCUGCUUGGGCAGCAGUGUUUGGGCUUUGGCCCCUGUUUGACCCCAUUAGGGCAUUGGGGGUGCUUGGACAUAGGUGGGGGUUGGGCUUGUAGCUGGGCGGGCUUGGUUGGCAACAUUGGCUGCAUGGGCCACCUUCCCCUCCCCCUCUUUGGGGGAUUGGCUAGCACUGUAGGGCUUUAUUGUUUGGGUGGGCAUUGUCAGCAGCAAUUUUAAGGCGGCCCCUGGCAGUGGGUAGCCUGGCUGGGCCUUUUCAACUGGGCCCUCUGGUGGUUGGUGUUCAUGUCCCCUUGGUGGUGGUAGGCCUGGUUUGGCCUUUUCAACAAUUAUCGGCCUCCUGGUGGUGGGUGGCUGGCUGGCUGGGGUUUUCAGCAAAGUGUUCACGUCCCCCUGGUGAUGAUAGGCCUGGUUUGGCCUUUUUGCUGCAGAGUGGUUAUUGGCCCCCUAGUGGCUGGGACUGGGUGGUUUGGCCUUUUUUCUGCAGAGUGGUUGAUGGCCCCCUGGUGGCUGGGACUGGGUUUUUUCUGCUUAUUCCUGGGUUGAUUUUACUAAGGCAGAUGCCUAAGAAAGCCCAAGGUAAAACUGGUGGGCGGCCUAUUCGACAGCCCAAGCGGCCUGCUCCUCCCCCCACUCAUCGGAUUAUGAGGAUGAAGAAAUGGUCCUUGUUUGGGGGCUGAUUAACUGGAUGGAGGCUUUAGAGAAAGUCAAGGCCGCUCCCUCUGAUAAGGGUGCUGGCCCGUCAGGUGCACCCAAGAAGGUUCCUUGGCACACUCGUGGGGCUGCUAGGACGCAUUUACUAAAAUCUAUUUCCAACAGGUUGGAAACGCUGGAGAGGGGUGAGGGCCCAUCUGGCCCUGUUGUUCCUGUUGAUCCAGAGGAUCCUAGAUUGGCUGUUCCUGGUGCUCCUGUUCCGGCGGUCCCUUUUCCUGCGGCUCCAGUGUUGCCAAUGCCUUUGGAUCCAUCAGUGCCUCUGCCUUCGGAUCUGCUGGCACCUAUUGCACCGGAUAAGCCCAUUGCACCGGAUAAGCCCAUUGCACCUACACCUCCUGGCGGUACCGGCCAGUGGUCUUCUUUGUUUAUAUUCUUAAAUAUAAACAUAUUUACUUUGUUGUUUAGGGAGCCGGAGGUAAAACAUAAAGAAGGUGAGUCAUGUAAGGAGCAUGAAUCCACAAAGCAUAAGCCAGUUGGAAAAACAGGCUUUCCGGCUUCACAAUCUAUAUGGGGGUGAUAUUGCAGGCUCAGCCUGCUAGGGGGCCUGCGCUUCUUAAAUACAUGGAUAUUAUUCACCGGGCCGUUUCGGAUUUUGCCGGCCCAGCCUGGAUUAGAUGUGAUGAAAGUUUUCGAAUGCGUGCAGCGCUAGACCCUACCCUUCCCUGGAACAUGCCUUUGCAAAAGCUUGUGGCUAGUGAUUAUAUGUCCUUCCCGCCCGGUCAACGGGGAUUGCUCGGACAGUGGACACUUGCUUUCUAGGGCGCAUGGGGUUUCAUCUGCCGUGGCAGCGGGUCAAUAGUGGGUUCAACCCCACUUGGUCUGCUGGAAGUUUAACAAUGGUGGCCGUUGCUCCAGGCCGAUGUGUCACUUCAGACACGUGUGUGGGCUCUGUGGUGCUAAACAUCCGAGUUCCAUCUGCCCCAGGGCCAAGCCUGGGGGAGCAGGAUUGAAGUUCAGGGGAGGUGGCACUAAGAAAGGGGGUCCCCCUCCACCCCCUAUGGGAAAAGGACCCCAGCCCAAUAAGGCUUGAGGUCUUUGAGCACUUGUUCUUGGAUUAUCCAGAUAGGGAGGCUGCUUUUUAUUUAAUUUCAGGUUUCAGGGAUGGUUUUCUGAUUCCUUCUAGUUCUCGCCAAGUACCGGCUACGUCCCGCAACCUAAAAUCCGUAGUGGGCAUGGAGCCUGUUGUCAUUAAGAAGAUUAAGAAGGAGGUGGACACCGGUAGGGUGAUGGGGCAGUUUGCCCGCCCCCCCCUUCCUGGAGUUGAGAGUUUCUCCCUUGGGGGUGGUGCCCAAGAAGGCACCCAGGGAAUUCUGUUUGAUCCACCAUUUGUCACACCCUAGGGGUUCUUCCAUCAAUGACGGAAUCCCGGAUGCGCUCUGCACAGUGCGCUACACUUCUUUUGAUGCAGCGGUCCAUUUGGUCAGGGACCGUGGGGUCGGGGCAUUAUUGGCCAAGUGUGAUAUAGAGUCCGCCUUCUGCCUGCUGCCUGUUCAUCCUUUAGAUUUUGAUUUGUUGGGCUUCGCUUAUGCGGGUCAAUUUUAUUUUGACCGUGCUUUCCCUAUGGGCUGCUCUAUUUCAUGUGCAGCCUUUGAGGCUUUUAGCACCUUUCUGGAAUGGGCAGUGAGGUGGAGGGCGGGCUUAGUAUUCAUGGCUCAUUCUUUAGAUGAUUUUCUUUUUGCAGGGAGGGGCGAUUCUUUUGAAUGCCAACACCUGCUGCAUUGCUUUAUGGAUUUGGCAUGGGACCUGGGUGUCCCCUUGGCCAAGGACAAGACAGAAGGGCCGGUCACAUGGCUGUCCUUUUUGGGAAUCGAACUCGAUACCCUGGCGGGUUGCUUUUGUUUGCCACAGGCUAAGUUGGGGGUCCUGCUGGACUUAGUUAGGGCUCUUGGGCAUGCCCGUAAGGCUACUCUGAGGGAGCUUGAGGUGGUGGCGGGGCACCUUAACUUUGCCUGUAGGGUUGUAGUUCCUGGUAGGGCCUUUUUGAGCCACAUUUAUGAUCUCAUGAUGGGGCUUCGUGCCCCACACCACAGGGUUUGCAUUGCAUUACAGAGGGUGUUAGGGCAGACUUGGCUGUCUGGGAGACAUUUUUGCAGGGAUUUAAUGGUGUUUCAUUUUGGAGGGGCGAACAGCUCCUUGAGGCCGACCUACAGGUGCAUUUGGAUGCUGCGGGUGGCGUGGGAUGUGGGGUGUUCUUCAGGGAUCGGUGGUGCAUGGCACGCUGGCCUGCGGAUUGGGCCCAGCGGGGGGUAACGCGAGACUUGAUCUUCCUGGAGUUUUUUCCUAUCGUAGUGGCGGUACACCUUUGAACUGAGGAGUUGCCAGUUCCACGGUUUGGUUCUGGUGCAAUAACCACGUGGUAGUCCAGGUGGUCAACUCUCAAACCUCCCGCUUUAAGAGGGUGAUGGGGUUAAUGAGGGUUUUUGUACUGCAGUGCCUUCAGGCCAACAUUUUGUUUUUGGCCCGCCAUGUUCCCGGGAUCCAGAAUGACAUUGCUGAUGCCCUGUCUCGCUUUCAGGUUCAGGGAGUUAGUGCCCGAGUCAGCUCUGGAUCCGGAUCCCAUGCCUGCCUUUCUGUGGCGUCUUGGCAAGCAGAGGCCCAGCAGGCCAUAGCUGCUUCAUUGGCGCCGGGCACUAGGGUGCUAGAUGCCAGCGAUUGAACCUGGGACCUUCUGAAUGUAAAGCAGAUGCUCUAAUACUGACCAAAUGCUUUAAUAUGUUCUAGCAUCAAGCAGCUUUUAGUUCAAAAAGCCUGAAAUCUUAUGCAUUCUUGUAAGAAUGCUUAUAAGCAAGUUCCCUUGAACAAAGUGAAACUUGCUUCUGAGUAAACAUACAAAGUGUUGGGUUGUAAAGCUACACUUUUAUGCUGCUUUGGUCUAAGGUUGUUUAAAUGUUUCCAUUCACACUACAGUUCCUUUCUUCUAUGAUACAGUAUUGGCUUCUAUGUUUUAAAAGCAAGACAUUUUAAAAUUAGUUUUUAACCAUCAAGAAUAAAACUCUAUUACAGAGUUGCUGUUCCACUCUCCAUGGCUCAAGUUAAAUGGCAGCUGAAAACUACUGUCCUCUCCCAUCUCCAUAAAAGGAGUCCCUUAAACAUUCAAGUCUGUAUUUGGGCAGGUCUUCAAUGGAAGAGAAUCCAUCACUGAGGGAAGAUCAAUAUGAAUUUCUGGCAUUCAUGAAUUCUAGAUUUCAUAUGUGGCGAUGUCAAGUCACUCAGCAGUGCUCUCAUCUAAUCUAAGCAGCAGCAAUAAAGAAUGUCACUUUACACCAUUCAGACACUUUAAAAUGGACUCACAUGGAAUUAGUGCAUCUGACAAUUCAAGCCUUUUAAUAUGUGUGAAGCAUGCCUUGACAAAUGAGGAUGUGCUUCUCACACAUCCGUUUUCUAGUAACACAUUGCAAAAUAAGGCAAUAGCUUGACACAAGCAUAACAAAAAUGUUAUGCCACCUUUUCCCGAAGCAGCUAGUGGAAAUUAGAGGCUUAUCAGCAUGAAGCACAUAUGCAAGAACUGUUCUCAGUUUGUGUAGUCUGAAAUUUGAACUACCUGAAGGAGCAGUCUCUAUGAGCAAGAGUAACUAAGAAAUAUUUUAUGAACUGCAAGCUCAUAUAACUUGUUCCUAUGUGUGCAAAAUCCUCCUCACUGCAGAUCUGCCUCACUUCUAAGGACCACCUUAAAAGGUGAUGGAACCAAGGACUGAUGCAAAUAAAAGGCAGACAGUAAAUGUAUUAAUCCAAGAAGCUAUUCAGAGCACUAGUGUGUUUUUGGUUAUAAGGAUUUUCUUCAGGACAAUAAUAUAUGUGAAAUGUAGAUACCACAGCCAGCCAGUCUGGUGUAGGGACAAAAUGCUGGAGAAGGAGUUAAGAGACCCAGCUUAAAAUCCUUACUCUGCCCUACAUAAGAACAGCCCUGCUGGAUCAGGCCCAAACCCAUCUAGUCCAACAUCCUGUAUCCCAGGGUGGCCCACCAGAUGCCUCUUGGGCCAGUCACUAUCUCUCAACCUAACUCAAUUCACAGGGUUGUUGCAAGGAUUUUUUUUUUUUUUAGGUGCUGCCUUGAACUACUUGGAGUAAAGACAAAAUAGAAAGGUCUUACUUCCAAGGAUGUCUUCUACUGUGCCGACUUGGAUUCUGAGAUGUUUAGAAUCUAAGAUUGACUAUUCUAUAUUAUGUGACACAUUUAAAAUAAAUACUACACUACAACAAUAAA